RNAcentral lists this ribosomal RNA (433 nucleotides) under uncultured bacterium. RNAcentral describes it as "partial 16S ribosomal RNA". It matches the Rfam family "Bacterial small subunit ribosomal RNA", at positions 29 to 506 of the family's 1533-position model. The record is from RNAcentral.
AGCGAACGCUGGCGGCAGGCCUAACACAUGCAAGUCGAACGAACCUUUCGGGGUUAGUGGCGGACGGGUGAGUAACACGUGGGAACGUGCCUUUAGGUUCGGAAUAACUCAGGGAAACUUGUGCUAAUACCUAAUGUGCCCUUCGGGGGAAAGAUUUAUCGCCUUUAGAGCGGCCCGCGUCUGAUUAGCUAGUUGGUUGAGGUAAUGGCUCACCAAGGCGACGAUCAGUAGCUGGUCUGAGAGGAUGAUCAGCCACAUUGGGACUGAGACACGGCCCAAACUCCUACGGGAGGCAGCAGUGGGGAAUCUUGCGCAAUGGGCGAAAGCCUGACGCAGCCAUGCCGCGUGAAUGAUGAAGGUCUUAGGAUUGUAAAAUUCUUUCACCGGGGACGAUAAUGACGGUACCCGGAGAAGAAGCCCCGGCUAACUUCGU